CCUACGGGGUGCAGCAGUAGGGAAUAUUGCUCAAUGGGGGAAACCCUGAAGCAGCAACGCCGCGUGGAGGAUGAAGGUUUUCGGAUUGUAAACUCCUUUUGUUAGAGAAGAUAAUGACGGUAUCUAACGAAUAAGCACCGGCUAACUCCGUGCCAGCAGCCGCGGUAAUACGGAGGGUGCAAGCGUUACUCGGAAUCACUGGGCGUAAAGGGCGCGUAGGCGGGAUAGCAAGUCAGAUGUGAAAUCCUAUGGCUUAACCAUAGAACUGCAUUUGAAACUGUUAUUCUAGAGUAUGGGAGAGGUAGGUGGAAUUCUUGGUGUAGGGGUAAAAUCCGUAGAGAUCAAGAGGAAUACUCAUUGCGAAGGCGACCUGCUAGAACAUAACUGACGCUGAUGCGCGAAAGCGUGGGGAGCAAACAGGAUUAGAUACCCGGGUAGUC
Molecule: ribosomal RNA, 440 nt
Filed under: uncultured bacterium
Lineage: Bacteria
Description: partial 16S ribosomal RNA
Rfam family: Bacterial small subunit ribosomal RNA
Source: RNAcentral